GACAUCAGUAGCCACGGUAAUACGAAGGGUGCAAGCGUUACUCGGAAUUACUGGGCGUAAAGCGUGCGUAGGUGGUGGUUUAAGUCCGUUGUGAAAGCCCUGGGCUCAACCUGGGAAUUGCAGUGGAUACUGGCAAGCUAGAGUACGGUAGAGGGGGAUAGAAUUCCACGUGUAGCAGUGAAAUGCGUAGAUAUGUGGAGGAAUACCGAUGGCGAAGGCAGCCCCCUGGGAUAACACUGACGCUCAUGCACUAAAGCGUGGGGAGCAAACAGGAUUAGAUACCCCGGUAGUCCCUGUCUCUUAUAC
RNAcentral lists this ribosomal RNA (306 nucleotides) under uncultured bacterium. RNAcentral describes it as "partial 16S ribosomal RNA". It matches the Rfam family "Bacterial small subunit ribosomal RNA", at positions 505 to 807 of the family's 1533-position model. The record is from RNAcentral.